AGUGAACGCUGGCGGUAGGCCUAACACAUGCAAGUCGAACGGCAGCACAGGAGAGCUUGCUCUCCGGGUGGCGAGUGGCGGACGGGUGAGGAUUACAUCGGAAUCUACUUUUUCGUGGGGGAUAACGUAGGGAAACUUACGCUAAUACCGCAUACGACCUACGGGUGAAAGCAGGGGACCUUCGGGCCUUGCGCGAUUGAAUGAGCCGAUGUCGGAUUAGCUAGUUGGCGGGGUAAAGGCCCACCAAGGCGACGAUCCGUAGCUGGUCUGAGAGGAUGAUCAGCCACACUGGAACUGAGACACGGUCCAGACUCCUACGGGAGGCAGCAGUGGGGAAUAUUGGACAAUGGGCGCAAGCCUGAUCCAGCCAUACCGCGUGGGUGAAGAAGGCCUUCGGGUUGUAAAGCCCUUUUGUUGGGAAAGAAAUCCAGCCGGCUAAUACCCUGGGGUCAUGACGGUACCGUAAGAAUAAGCACCGGCUAACUACGUGCCAGCCGCCGCGGUAA
This 506-nucleotide ribosomal RNA is filed under the name uncultured bacterium. RNAcentral's name for it is "partial 16S ribosomal RNA". It matches the Rfam family "Bacterial small subunit ribosomal RNA", at positions 29 to 523 of the family's 1533-position model. The record is from RNAcentral.